RNAcentral lists this transfer RNA (74 nucleotides) under Aquihabitans daechungensis. RNAcentral's name for it is "tRNA-Arg". It matches the Rfam family "tRNA". From Rfam's summary of the family: Transfer RNA (tRNA) molecules are approximately 80 nucleotides in length. Their secondary structure includes four short double-helical elements and three loops (D, anti-codon, and T loops). Further hydrogen bonds mediate the characteristic L-shaped molecular structure. tRNAs have two regions of fundamental functional importance: the anti-codon, which is responsible for specific mRNA codon recognition, and the 3' end, to which the tRNAs corresponding amino acid is attached (by aminoacyl-tRNA synthetases). tRNAs cope with the degeneracy of the genetic code in two manners: having more than one tRNA (with a specific anti-codon) for a particular amino acid; and 'wobble' base-pairing, i.e. permitting non-standard base-pairing at the 3rd anti-codon position. The record is from RNAcentral. RNAcentral also lists the same sequence under 5 other names. Lineage: Bacteria; Bacillati; Actinomycetota; Acidimicrobiia; Acidimicrobiales; Iamiaceae.
GCCCCCGUAGCUCAGCUGGAUAGAGCACCGGACUUCUAAUCCGACGGUCGUUGGUUCGAAUCCAACCGGGGGCG